Molecule: long non-coding RNA, 1307 nt
Organism: Myiozetetes cayanensis
Lineage: Eukaryota; Metazoa; Chordata; Aves; Passeriformes; Tyrannidae
Exons: 4
Source: RefSeq, a predicted model, not a curated record
GGCCACAGGUAGGGUGGGCAAGGUUAAUAGGGAUCUCUGCCUGUGCUCCCAGCUAUGCCUCAGCUUGGGAUGUUGGUCCAGCACAUGAAUUUUGGCAGUAAUGGAAAGAACAGGUUUUUAGUCUGGCAAAUUGCUUUGUGUGGAGUCAAGGGUCUGGCUGCAGGAGUGGGGAGGAUCUGCAGAUGAAGCACCCUGCCAGUAGUUCAAGGCUUCCCAACUGUCUGGAUUCAAGUACUGGGGAUAGUGCUGCCAACCUUUAAAGAAUAAAUAGACAGCCCUGGUUUCUAGAUGACCUGACAUGAUCACACUUCUUGAAAUUGAUUCACAGUCAUGGCUCAGAGUGCCCUGAUGGCCAUAUGGGACAGCAAAGACAGGAGGACACAAGGGCUGUCUGAGGAGCUGACAUGGGUUGGGCAGAGACUGUAUGAAGGGGAUGCAGUAUUCAUCCAGUUUCUCCAGUUUUUCCACAGAAAUUGCCUUGUGUCCUGGACUCUGCAACAGGCUGAGCUUCAGGAAGGAGAAGAGAGAAGAAAUGAGGACCUGAAUGGGGAAAAAGUGGAAAAGAGAGAUCAGGCAAAGGAGAUGAGCCCAAGGAGCCAAGAAGGAGGAAAUGUCAGAGGACAGGUGUCUGAGGUGAGCCCUCGGAGACGUGAGAGGGCAGCCUCGUGCAGAAACCAGACCUGACAGCAGCACCCUGUCUUCUCAUGGAGCGUGGGGGUGGCAACAUCCUCACAUGCUUUUUAGAAGUCCUUCAAGGAGAAGCCUAAGUAGAUAUUGAAUUUCACUGCUUCAUAGUACAACAAAUUCCUUCCAGGAAGAGGCUGAAUCAUUUCAUCUCCGUUAGAGCAGCAAUUUCUACCUCCAGCCGCAAGUCAACAGCUUUAAUAAUAGGUUCCUUCUACUCCUGGAGCCUGCUUGGCUCCACACCUCUCAGCUUGCCCAUUGACAAAUUGCUGCAGACAUGCAUCCACCUAUCCUAGGUUUGCCCCAGGCUUCCACACCACACAGUGUAUGUCCAUUAAACAGCUCGUGCUGUGUUAUCACAGACUGUAAAUUACUGCUUAAUCACACAGCUGGCCUGGAUGUCCAUCUCAGUCUGACCUCAGCGUCUCCACGCGACUGAUGAUGAAAGAUGUGUGCAUACCAACAGCACCAAGUAUUAUGUUCUUGAGAAUCCAGAGCAGGAGCCACCACAACAUAUGUGAUGUGACUUGUUCCAACCUAGAUAAACUGUUUAAGGGGGUGUAUGUAUGUGGGUACAUCUGAGCAAAUAUGAUAAGAGAACAUAAGUAUUUAAAUGAGCAAUG